RNAcentral lists this ribosomal RNA (254 nucleotides) under uncultured bacterium. RNAcentral describes it as "partial 16S ribosomal RNA". It matches the Rfam family "Bacterial small subunit ribosomal RNA", at positions 524 to 776 of the family's 1533-position model. The record is from RNAcentral.
UACGUAGGGGGGCUAGCGUUGUCCCGGAAUCAUUGGGCGUAAGAGCGUGUAGGCGGCCCGGUAAGUCCGCUGUAAAAGUCAAAGGCUCAACCUUUGAAUGUCAGUGGAUACUGCCGGGCUAGAGUCCGGAAGAGGCGAGUGGAACUCCUGGUGUAGCGGUGGAAUGCGCAGAUAUCAGGAAGAACACCAACGGCGAAGGCAGCUCGCUGGGACGGUACUGACGCUGAGACGCGAAAGCGUGGGGAGCGAACAGG